ACGACGUUGGGUCCAUGUGGCCUGAUCUCCAACCCUGUGUCUAUCUAAACUCUUGUUGCUUUGGCGGGCCGUUGGGUCUGACCCACCGCCGGCUUCGGCUGGAGAGCGUCCGCCAGAGUCAUUUGAAAACCCUUUAUCCAUGUCGUCUGAGUACUUGUAUAAAUUAUCA
Molecule: unclassified non-coding RNA, 169 nt
Filed under: uncultured Lecanoromycetes
Lineage: Eukaryota; Fungi; Ascomycota; Lecanoromycetes
Description: sequence contains ITS1
Source: RNAcentral